Molecule: unclassified non-coding RNA, 333 nt
Filed under: soil metagenome
Description: partial contains 5.8S ribosomal RNA, internal transcribed spacer 2, and large subunit ribosomal RNA
Rfam family: 5.8S ribosomal RNA (bases 1-120)
Source: RNAcentral
GAUGAAGAACGCAGCAAAAUGCGAUAAGUAAUGUGAAUUGCAGAAUUCAGUGAAUCAUCGAAUCUUUGAACGCACAUUGCGCCCGCCAGUAUUCUGGCGGGCAUGCCUGUUCGAGCGUCAUUUCAACCCUCAAGCUCAGCUUGGUGUUGGGACUCGCGGUAACCCGCGUUCCCCAAAUCGAUUGGCGGUCACGUCGAGCUUCCAUAGCGUAGUAAUCAUACACCUCGUUACUGGUAAUCGUCGCGGCCACGCCGUAAAACCCCAACUUCUGAAUGUUGACCGCGGAUCAGGUAGGAAUACCCGCUGAACUUAAGCAUAUCAAUAAGCGGAGGA